GCGGAAGCGGUUCAGUUAGAAAUAAAAUUAAAAGGAUUUAAGAACCCUAGAAAAGUUAGAUAUUGGAUUGUAAAGGAAACAGGAUAGAACGUCCCGACCUCUGGGUCGGGAAGGUCGUGGGUUCAAAUCCCAUCUUCCACCCCA
Molecule: transfer RNA, 144 nt
Filed under: Flavobacteriales bacterium
Lineage: Bacteria; Pseudomonadati; Bacteroidota; Flavobacteriia; Flavobacteriales
Description: tRNA-OTHER
Source: RNAcentral